AAAUUAGUCCGCUUGGCCACCAAAAAAUGAACGACAAAACGGAUAAAUGCCCGAAAAUAAAAACCAAAACAAGCAGCACGCGACGCGCAGAAAGAAGAACUAAAACAAACCGAAAAACUGAAUAAAUUGGCAAUGUUUGGGCCAGCUAAGUACCAAUACCUAUAAAUCCUGCACAGCUUAACCCGCAAAGCCCAAGGAGUCUCCCAACAGAUCGGUACCAAGCAAUUGUUCUGUGGACUAUGAUUUCGAUCCCAAAUCGUUAUAUGGUGAAAAUUAAACUCUGGUAACUCCAUAAAAUAUCGGAGUUGCCAGAUCAAUAGAAAUACAUAAAAACGUCUGCCUUUUAACAGUAAUCAAUUGGAGCUUUCACUAAGAAAAUGAUCAGAGGAGAUGGAAAAGGUCGCCCUAUCCACAGGAAGCAUUUUUAGAACAGCGCAAAUCAGCAGAAGACAGAGGACCACCAGACCACAUUGCUUGCCCUGCGAAGGAAGCCCAGAAUCCUGGGUGCCAAAGGCGUGCUUUUCCUUCCCUUUUUAAGUUUUAAUUCCACGCGGCUUUUGCACGAGCCCAAAAAUUAAAUUUCUUAUUCUUUGAGCCGCGGCUAAAGGCGUUCUGGUAUUUUCUGGUAUUUUCUGGUAUUUUGUUAGCUUAUCUUGAAAAAAAGCUUGAAAAACUGACGCGACGAACACAGUUAGCUGCGUAUUUGCCUCUCGCUCGCGAUUUUCGCCGCUCUGAGCUCUAGGCUUUAAAGGCAGAACGGGAAAAUUAUAAUACGUGCGUACGUAAUUUUAGUAUUUUGGGAUUUAGACAAGAUUGCAACUC
Drosophila biarmipes is the source of this 822-nucleotide long non-coding RNA. RefSeq lists it as uncharacterized. NCBI's taxonomy places the organism in Eukaryota, Metazoa, Arthropoda, Insecta, Diptera, Drosophilidae. The transcript has 5 exons. The record is from RefSeq and is a predicted model, not a curated record.